Molecule: ribosomal RNA, 254 nt
Filed under: uncultured bacterium
Lineage: Bacteria
Description: partial 16S ribosomal RNA
Rfam family: Bacterial small subunit ribosomal RNA
Source: RNAcentral
GACGUAGGGCGCGAGCGUUGUCCGGAUUUAUUGGGCGUAAAGAGCUCGUAGGCGGCUUGUCGCGUCGACUGUGAAAACCCGUGGCUCAACCAUGUGGUCUGCAGUCGAUACGGGCAGGCUAGAAUUCGGUAGGGGAGACUGGAAUUCCUGGUGUAGCGGUGAAAUGCGCAGAUAUCAGGAGGAACACCAGCGGCGAAGGCGGCGCUCUGGGCCGGAACUGACGCUGAGGAGCGAAAGCGUGGGUAGCAAACAGG